This 314-nucleotide long non-coding RNA is filed under the name Elaeis guineensis (African oil palm). RNAcentral describes it as "long non-coding RNA (EGUI_LNC065734)". The record is from RNAcentral. Lineage: Eukaryota; Viridiplantae; Streptophyta; Magnoliopsida; Arecales; Arecaceae.
AGCAAGGGACAAAUAAUAAAAGAAUGUUGUCUAAGAAAAAGAAAACACUUGUAUGUUAGAUUCUACAAGAUGUUAGACUCUUGUUAGUAUGAAAAAAUACCUAAAAGACUCAAGUAUAAAAGAAUGCUUAAAAAAAGAAAGAAUUAGUAAAAGACUCAAUACCUAAAAGAUGUUAGUGAUCCUUGCUAUCACUUCGUGACAACAAUUUCAAGGGUGGAAAGAGUUAGUAAAGGAAGAUCAAGAAAAGACACUUAUCUUAUGAGACUUAACAGUAUGAUUCCAGUAAGCAGUUAAGAAAAGAUACCUAUCUUAGG